CGAACGCUGGCGGCGUGCCUAAUACAUGCAAGUCGAACGAACUCUGGUAUUGAUUGGUGCUUGCAUCAUGAUUUACAUUUGAGUGAGUGGCGAACUGGUGAGUAACACGUGGGAAACCUGCCCAGAAGCGGGGGAUAACACCUGGAAACAGAUGCUAAUACCGCAUAACAACUUGGACCGCAUGGUCCGAGCUUGAAAGAUGGCUUCGGCUAUCACUUUUGGAUGGUCCCGCGGCGUAUUAGCUAGAUGGUGGGGUAACGGCUCACCAUGGCAAUGAUACGUAGCCGACCUGAGAGGGUAAUCGGCCACAUUGGGACUGAGACACGGCCCAAACUCCUACGGGAGGCAGCAGUAGGGAAUCUUCCACAAUGGACGAAAGUCUGAUGGAGCAACGCCGCGUGAGUGAAGAAGGGUUUCGGCUCGUAAAACUCUGUUGUUAAAGAAGAACAUAUCUGAGAGUAACUGUUCAGGUAUUGACGGUAUUUAACCAGAAAGCCACGGCUAACUACGUGCCAGCAGCCGCGGUAAUACGUAGGUGGCAAGCGUUGUCCGGAUUUAUUGGGCGUAAAGCGAGCGCAGGCGGUUUUUUAAGUCUGAUGUGAAAGCCUUCGGCUCAACCGAAGAAGUGCAUCGGAAACUGGGAAACUUGAGUGCAGAAGAGGACAGUGGAACUCCAUGUGUAGCGGUGAAAUGCGUAGAUAUAUGGAAGAACACCAGUGGCGAAGGCGGCUGUCUGGUCUGUAACUGACGCUGAGGCUCGAAAGUAUGGGUAGCAAACAGGAUUAGAUACCCUGGUAGUCCAUACCGUAAACGAUGAAUGCUAAGUGUUGGAGGGUUCCGCCCUUCAGUGCUGCAGCUAACGCAUUAAGCAUUCCGCCUGGGGAGUACGGCCGCAAGGCUGAAACUCAAAGGAAUUGACGGGGGCCCGCACAAGCGGUGGAGCAUGUGGUUUAAUUCGAAGCUACGCGAAGAACCUUACCAGGUCUUGACAUACUAUGCAAAUCUAAGAGAUUAGACGUUCCCUUCGGGGACAUGGAUACAGGUGGUGCAUGGUUGUCGUCAGCUCGUGUCGUGAGAUGUUGGGUUAAGUCCCGCAACGAGCGCAACCCUUAUUAUCAGUUGCCAGCAUUAAGUUGGGCACUCUGGUGAGACUGCCGGUGACAAACCGGAGGAAGGUGGGGAUGACGUCAAAUCAUCAUGCCCCUUAUGACCUGGGCUACACACGUGCUACAAUGGAUGGUACAACGAGUUGCGAACUCGCGAGAGUAAGCUAAUCUCUUAAAGCCAUUCUCAGUUCGGAUUGUAGGCUGCAACUCGCCUACAUGAAGUCGGAAUCGCUAGUAAUCGCGGAUCAGCAUGCCGCGGUGAAUACGUUCCCGGGCCUUGUACACACCGCCCGUCACACCAUGAGAGUUUGUAACACCCAAAGUCGGUGGGGUAACCUUUUAGGAACCAGCCGCCUAAGGUGGGACAGAUGAUUAGGGUG
RNAcentral lists this ribosomal RNA (1486 nucleotides) under Lactiplantibacillus pentosus. RNAcentral describes it as "bacterial SSU rRNA". It matches the Rfam family "Bacterial small subunit ribosomal RNA". Lineage: Bacteria; Bacillati; Bacillota; Bacilli; Lactobacillales; Lactobacillaceae. The record is from RNAcentral.